ACUUUACAAUGCGGGAAACCGUGAUAAGGGGACACCGGGUGCUAGCAUCAUAUGCUGGCUGUCCAGGUGUGUAAAAUACACCUGUUAGCAAGGGCCGGGCAAGACCGGUGCCAGCCGCCGCGGUAACACCGGCGGCCCGAGUGGUGAUCGUGAUUAUUGGGUCUAAAGGGUCCGUAGCCGGUUUGGUCAGUCCUCCGGGAAAUCUGAUAGCUCAACUAUUAGGCUUUCGGGGGUUACUGCCAGACUUGGAACCGGGAGAGGUAAGAGGUACUGCAGGGGUAGGAGUGAAAUCCAGGAAUCACUGUGGGACGACCAGUGGCGAAGGCGUCCUACCAGAAAGGGUUCGACGGUGAGGAACGAAAGAC
This 365-nucleotide ribosomal RNA is filed under the name uncultured archaeon. RNAcentral's name for it is "bacterial SSU rRNA". It matches the Rfam family "Archaeal small subunit ribosomal RNA", at positions 347 to 712 of the family's 1478-position model. The record is from RNAcentral.